RNAcentral lists this ribosomal RNA (428 nucleotides) under uncultured archaeon. RNAcentral describes it as "bacterial SSU rRNA". It matches the Rfam family "Archaeal small subunit ribosomal RNA", at positions 474 to 903 of the family's 1478-position model. The record is from RNAcentral.
UACCAGCUCCCUGAGUGGUAAGGACGAUUAUUUGGCCUAAAGCGUCCGUAGCCGGCUUAUCAAGUCUUUUGUUAAACCCAAUGAUUCAAUCAUUGAUCUGCAAGAGAUACUGUUAUGCUAGAGGACGGGAGAGGUCGACGGUAGUCCAGGGGUAGGGGUGAAAUCCUAUAAUCCUUGGAGGACCACCAGUGGCGAAGGCGGUCGACUAGAACGUGCCUGACGGUGAGGGACGAAAGCUGGGGGAGCGAACCGGAUUAGAUACCCGGGUAGUCCCAGCUGUAAACGAUGCGGGCUAGGUGUUGGGGUAGCUACGAGCUACUCCAGUGCCGCAGAGAAGUUGUUAAGCCCGCCGCCUGGGGAGUACGGCCGCAAGGCUGAAACUUAAAGGAAUUGGCGGGGAGUACCACAAGGGGUGAAGGCUGCGGUUU